This 745-nucleotide ribosomal RNA is filed under the name Enterococcus villorum. RNAcentral's name for it is "bacterial SSU rRNA". It matches the Rfam family "Bacterial small subunit ribosomal RNA", at positions 56 to 774 of the family's 1533-position model. Lineage: Bacteria; Bacillati; Bacillota; Bacilli; Lactobacillales; Enterococcaceae. The record is from RNAcentral.
UGCAGUCGACGCUUCUUUUUCCACCGGAGCUUGCUCCACCGGAAAAAGAGGAGUGGCGAACGGGUGAGUAACACGUGGGUAACCUGCCCAUCAGAAGGGGAUAACACUUGGAAACAGGUGCUAAUACCGUAUAAUAAUUAAAACCGCAUGGUUUUAAUUUGAAAGGCGCUUUACGGUGCCACUGAUGGAUGGACCCGCGGUGCAUUAGCUAGUUGGUGAGGUAACGGCUCACCAAGGCGACGAUGCAUAGCCGACCUGAGAGGGUGAUCGGCCACAUUGGGACUGAGACACGGCCCAAACUCCUACGGGAGGCAGCAGUAGGGAAUCUUCGGCAAUGGACGAAAGUCUGACCGAGCAACGCCGCGUGAGUGAAGAAGGUUUUCGGAUCGUAAAACUCUGUUGUUAGAGAAGAACAAGGAUGAGAGUAACUGUUCAUCCCUUGACGGUAUCUAACCAGAAAGCCACGGCUAACUACGUGCCAGCAGCCGCGGUAAUACGUAGGUGGCAAGCGUUGUCCGGAUUUAUUGGGCGUAAAGCGAGCGCAGGCGGUUUCUUAAGUCUGAUGUGAAAGCCCCCGGCUCAACCGGGGAGGGUCAUUGGAAACUGGGAGACUUGAGUGCAGAAGAGGAGAGUGGAAUUCCAUGUGUAGCGGUGAAAUGCGUAGAUAUAUGGAGGAACACCAGUGGCGAAGGCGGCUCUCUGGUCUGUAACUGACGCUGAGGCUCGAAAGCGUGGGGAGCAAACA